Mus musculus (house mouse) is the source of this 4435-nucleotide long non-coding RNA. RefSeq annotates it as predicted gene, 32786. Lineage: Eukaryota; Metazoa; Chordata; Mammalia; Rodentia; Muridae. The transcript has 3 exons. The record is from RefSeq and is a predicted model, not a curated record.
CUCUCUCUCUCUCUCACAUCUCUGUGUGUGUCCUCCCCCACCCUGUGUGUGUAUGCGUGUGUAUAUGAAGGGAAAGCUAUAAAUAUGUUCACAUGUAUGUGGAAGCCGGAGGUCAACCUGGGUAUCAUUCAUCAGGAGCUGUCCACCUUGUUUUUGAGGCAGGGUCUCUCACUGGCCUGGGACUCUCUAUUAGGCAAGGCUAGUUGAAUGAGAUCUUGCUGCCUCCACCCCUCCAGUGCUGUAGUUAAAUGUCACCAUUCCAGGCUUUUAGGGUGGUUUGGGGGAAGAAACUAGGGUCCUCAUGACUGUGAGGUGAGUACUUCACCAAUAGAGUUGUCUCUAAAAUUCUAAGUUCUAUUUUCAACUCUAACAGUUAUCUGUAGAAUUUCCCUUGACACUUAUUUUUAAGUGAAACUUUGUAGCAUUGGUUUGUGGUUGAAUCUUUGUAGCAUUGGUUUGUGGUUGACCUGCACAGUGUCUUACCCGCAAAAUGACAGCUUUGCUUUAAUUCUGAUUCUGCAGGUAACAUUGACUAGGUGAAAUAGGUAUUGUACUUUCUGGGUGGGACGUUUCAUCAGUUUAAGGAAGGUCCCCUUUAUCUCUAACUUGCACAUCAUUUUCUUUGUCCUCAAAGGAUGAGAACCUUACUGUGUGGCUUUCUGUACACUGGAACCCCCUUUUACUUGGUAUGGUGAAAUACUAACCUUAAAUGUGGAUGAUCCUCAUCCUACUGAGGCACAUGGCACUAAGGAACUAUACUGAUACUUGGACCUGUGAGAAUUUUCUUCUUGGGCAUCUUGAAGUCUUCCUGUUUUCUAUUUGCUUCUGCAGGAAGAAUUUUCAAACCUGCUCCUCCAUCAAGGGAAGACUCAGUCCCAGAGGUGAAGCAGCUUGGUUACAUUCUCUCUGUCACAGAAAUAAAACAUCUGGGAUGGAAAUCAAAAAAUCAUCUAUCCUCUUCCUUCUUCCAAAUCCCAAGUCAUUCAAACCAGUUUCUUCAGGCCAUGAAUCUUUUAACUUCCAGAGUAAAUCCUCAUUAAUGACAGAGGAAGAAGACCUGGUUGAACAAGAUAUUAUUCCCUUGCUUUCUUUCUUCAUCUAAGACAGAUCUUUGUCUUAAACGCUGGAGAAAGGCUUUUCCCAAGGAACAAGCCUUACCUAUCUCAGCUUCCUAGGCUGUAGGUCUGUGGGGACCGUGUACACUUCCCAUCUUCUACAGUAGGUGGCACAUGCCAUCUCCAGCUGUGGUUCAGGUCCUUUAAGUGUGUGCUCAAAGAGACACUGCUUUCCAGUGGCCAGAUUCCUCAAGGUACCUCUCUGUUGACUUGGACAGGGACUUAAUUACAGUAAACUAAUCGACUGACUGAUUUUCAGGUUAAAAUUUUUGGGGAUGAAGUUGUCUUUGGCCAAGUGUUGGCGGCAAAUACCUUUUAGCUCAGCACUUGGGAGCAGAGGCAAGUGAAUCUCCGAGUUCGAGCUGGUAGAACUGAUCUAUAGAGUGAGUUCCAGGACAGCUACAGAGAGAAACCCUGACUCAACCAACCAACCAACCAACCAACCAACCAACCAACCACAGUGUCAUAGACCAAACCCAACCACCUGCUCCAGUGAAGCCCAGAGAAAUCCUCUAGACACAGUGAGCUUUGAGGGAAGUGGCAAGAUGGACUUACAGAAAUAUCCAAGGAUUAUAGUUUUUUUUCUUGAGGGCCUUAAAUUGUUAUGAAGCUGAGAAUGACCUUGAACUUCUGACCCUCCAGUCUUCACUUCCCAAGUGUCGGGUUAGACGUGUGCUAAUAUACCAUGUUUACAGUGUGCUGCAGAUGAAACCCAGGGGUUUGUGCAGCUAGGCAAGCACCCUUUAUAGUAUGCAUGUCAGCCCAUCUGGACUCCCUGAAUACUUGCUCCCAUUUGAAAAAAUCUCCAGCCUGCUGAGGCUGGUCUGGAUGUCAGGUUGAGAGAUGGAAACAUGUGCAGAGAUUGCAACUUCCUUUGGAGAGCCAUCUUGAUUUGGGGGAACAUUGAUAAAGACAUUAAGAGUAAGAUGGGGUGUGUAUGAGAUGCUAAGAAGUGAAGGUUCUGAUAAAGAUCGGCACCCUGAUUUGUGAGUGGCCCACAGGAAGCUCAGGAAGACCCAAAGACAUUGAGGACUGGUCGCCAGGAUCAAGACCCAUCCUGUGGCAGAAAUACCCACAGCAUUCCUGACAUGAGGAUAAGAAUUUACCCAAGCACACGGGCUGCCAUGGCUGUCACUGGACUAGGAUGCCAAGGUCCUCCAGGUAGGAGGGGGAUAUGCUUCUAUUCAUGUCUUUUUAUGUGUGUGUGGACAUGUGUGGUAUAUGAGUAUGUAUGUGCACACUCAUGUUAGGGCUUAAUGCGUGCAUCUGUGCAUAUCCCUGUGAAGGCCAGAGGUAUGUGUACCUUAUUUUUUGAGACAGGGUUUUCCACUGUACCCAGAACUCACUGAUUUAGCUAGAUGGACUGACUGGCGAGCUCCAGGGUGUCCUGUCUCUGCUUUCCCAGUGCUCGGAUUACAGAUGUGAGCCUGCAUCCCCAGCUUUUCACUUAGGUUCUAGGGGUCUAAAUUCAGGUCCUCAUGCAUAUAUGGCAUGUGCUUUAUCAACUGAGCCAUCUCUCCAGCUUUCUUCUCCAUAUCCUUUUUAUCCUUUUUUUAUCUUAAUCUUGAGAUAUAUUUUUCUGGAACUUAACAUUUCAUGAAAUCUGGUCUUGGUAGUGCAUGCCUGUAAUUCCAGAAAUUGCGAAGUUAGAGGCAGGAGGAUUAUGAAUUCAAAUCUACCCUGUGCUACACAGUAAGCCUGAGGCCAACCUUGAGAUGACUGUUAGGCAUAUAUAUAUAUAUAUAUGGAAUUAAAGGAAUAUAUCACCUUUAUAUUGGGUUAUACUGGGUUAUAAAGGGCAGAGGCAGUUUUUACCCUAGCAACUGAAUUGGAGUGUGAACCCUGAUCUCUGUGGAGAGAUUCCCCACAAAGAGUAAGGUCAUGAGAUUGAAAAAUAGCAAGUAUCACUCAUAAUUCCAUCACUUGGGAGGCUCAGGCAGGAUGAUUGCAAAUUCAAGGACAGCUUGGGUACAUAGCCAAACCUUGUCUUAAACACAAAACAAAACAACCCCCCCUCCCACCACCUCAUAAAAACCCACUACAUGUUGCUCAGUGGGAAUGCCAGGCACAAUUGGCCACAUCUGUGGUUCCACUUACAUAAUCUUUCUGAAGUAGAAGCAGCCCAGAGACAAGGAAGCAUGAUGGUGGAUGCAGGAGGAUGGGAAGAGUCUGCUGAUGCGGGUGGGGUUUAGUAGUGAUGGAACAGUUAGGGGUUCCGCAGGGGGUUGACUGCAAAAUACUGGACAUGUGCUGAACAUGGCUGAGCUGCUCCAAUGAUACCACAUGUGUUUCUACUCAAAUAAGGAUGAAGGGAGAUGAUGGCUCAGUUGGUAAAGUGCUUGCUUGCCUUGUGUGAAGUGCAGGGUUCAAACCCAUCACGGGUGCAUACCUGCAAUCCUAGCACUUGGGAAGUGGAUACAGGAUGGUCAAGAGUUCCCGGUCAUCCUCAGCUACCCAGUCAGCUCAAGGCCAGCCCGGGUUAUGUGGAAACUUGCUUCAGAAAAGAAAGUAAUAAAAGGAGGGGGUUGGAGGCUCAAGCCUCAGUCUGGAUGAGCUCACCUGCUGUCUAAGUGGUCUCUGAAUACCAUCAGGGCUUCACAGUCUCAGCAUUCACUCUGCUAUGUCUGCCUUGGAGAGUCAGGUUCCAGCCCACUUGAAAAGUGGCAUUUCCAGGGGUGAGGUCUCUGUGGGGACAGAGAUGCCACCUAAUAAUACUGCUCUGUUGUGGUACUCUGUGGUAAGCUUAGGUGUGAACUGACUGAGAACCUAUCAAGGCUACCUGCUAUCUUGAUGGAGGAGGCAUCACCUUUCCUCCCUGAGACUGUUUUAUUUAUGUGUCUCUCUCUUCUUGCUGGGGUAGGAGACAGCCCAGCUGCACCUUCCUGCUGUCCUGGGGAGAAUGUAAAGUCCUCUUCCACCUUCUCCGGCCAGUCCUAUCAUAGCUUCUGACAUGCUGACACCAUUGUUUCCAAGAAUACUGUAUGUCACCAGCCCUGUGCCCAGUCAUAGGACCAGAUUACAUCUGAGCCGGAUCUGCAGCCCUCAAUAAUCUCAGAUAAGAGGGUAGAGGCUACAGGGGAGAGUGGGAAAAACUAGGCCAGUUCAUUUCAAUAGAACCAAUGACCUAGAGGGCGAUGUACUCCUGGCGAUUUGGCAAAGAGGGGAUUCCUACACAGUCUCAGACAUGAGCUUAACACCUGAGAGAUGAAUCUACCCAAGCUUCAGACCCCGGCUCACCUGUGGCUAUAUCCUGAAUGAAACAGUUUGUUUGUUUGUUUGUUUGUUUGUUUGUUUUAUCACCUCAGUGUUUCAGAAGCUUC